RNAcentral lists this ribosomal RNA (853 nucleotides) under Chaetomium spiculipilium. RNAcentral describes it as "partial large subunit ribosomal RNA". It matches the Rfam family "Eukaryotic large subunit ribosomal RNA", at positions 76 to 963 of the family's 3401-position model. Lineage: Eukaryota; Fungi; Ascomycota; Sordariomycetes; Sordariales; Chaetomiaceae. The record is from RNAcentral.
UGCCCUAGUAACGGCGAGUGAAGCGGCAACAGCUCAAUUUGAAAUCUGGCUUCGGCCCGAGUUGUAAUUUGCAGAGGAAGCUUUAGGCGCGGCACCUUCUGAGUCCCCUGGAACGGGGCGCCAUAGAGGGUGAGAGCCCCGUAUAGUUGGAUGCCUAGCCUGUGUAAAGCUCCUUCGACGAGUCGAGUAGUUUGGGAAUGCUGCUCAAAAUGGGAGGUAAAUUUCUUCUAAAGCUAAAUACCGGCCAGAGACCGAUAGCGCACAAGUAGAGUGAUCGAAAGAUGAAAAGCACUUUGAAAAGAGGGUUAAAUAGCACGUGAAAUUGUUGAAAGGGAAGCGCUUGUGACCAGACUUGCGCCGGGCAGAUCAUCCGGUGUUCUCACCGGUGCACUCUGCCCGGCUCAGGCCAGCAUCGGUUCUCGCGGGGGGAUAAAGGCCCUGGGAACGUAGCUCCUCCGGGAGUGUUAUAGCCCGGGGCGUAAUGCCUUCGCGGGGACCGAGGUUCGCGCAUCUGCAAGGAUGCUGGCGUAAUGGUCAUCAGCGACCCGUCUUGAAACACGGACCAAGGAGUCAAGGUUUUGCGCGAGUGUUUGGGUGUAAAACCCGCACGCGUAAUGAAAGUGAACGUAGGUGAGAGCUUCGGCGCAUCAUCGACCGAUCCUGAUGUUUUCGGAUGGAUUUGAGUAGGAGCGUUAAGCCUUGGACCCGAAAGAUGGUGAACUAUGCUUGGAUAGGGUGAAGCCAGAGGAAACUCUGGUGGAGGCUCGCAGCGGUUCUGACGUGCAAAUCGAUCGUCAAAUCUGAGCAUGGGGGCGAAAGACUAAUCGAACCAUCUAGUAGCUGGUUACCGCCA